GACGAACGCUGGCGGCGUGCCUAAUACAUGCAAGUAGAACGCUGAAGGAGGAGCUUGCUCCUCCGGAUGAGUUGCGAACGGGUGAGUAACGCGUAGGUAACCUGCCUGGUAGCGGGGGAUAACUAUUGGAAACGAUAGCUAAUACCGCAUAACAGUAGAUAUUGCAUGAUAUCUGCUUGAAAGGUGCAAUUGCAUCACUACCAGAUGGACCUGCGUUGUAUUAGCUAGUUGGUGAGGUAACGGCUCACCAAGGCGACGAUACAUAGCCGACCUGAGAGGGUGAUCGGCCACACUGGGACUGAGACACGGCCCAGACUCCUACGGGAGGCAGCAGUAGGGAAUCUUCGGCAAUGGACGGAAGUCUGACCGAGCAACGCCGCGUGAGUGAAGAAGGUGUUCGGAUCGUAAAGCUCUGUUGUAAGAGAAGAACGAGUGUGAGAGUGGAAAGUUCACACUGUGACGGUAUCUUACCAGAAAGGGACGGCUAACUACGU
This 494-nucleotide ribosomal RNA is filed under the name uncultured bacterium. Its description in RNAcentral is "partial 16S ribosomal RNA". It matches the Rfam family "Bacterial small subunit ribosomal RNA", at positions 28 to 506 of the family's 1533-position model. The record is from RNAcentral.